UGAGGAGUAUUACGCAAUGGGGGCAACCCUGACGCAGCAAUACCGCGUGAGUGAAGAAGGUUUUCGGAUCGUAAAGCUCUGUUAUUGGGGAAGAAAAAAGACGUUACCCAAGAAGAACGUCCCUGCUAACUACGUGCCAGCAGCCGCGGUAAUACGUAGCGGACAAGCGUUGUCCGGAUUUACUGGGCGUAAAGGGCACGCAGGCGGUUUUUUAAGUCAGAUGUGAAAGGUACCGGCUCCACCGGUGACAUUCAUUUGAAACUGAAAGACUUGAGUAUUGGAGAGGGAAGUGGAAGGACGAGUGUAGCGGUGAAAUGAGUAGAUAUUAGGAGGAACACCGGUGGAGAAGGCGGCUUGCUGGACAAAUACUGACGCUGAGGUGCGAAAGCGUGGGGAGCAAACA
Molecule: ribosomal RNA, 403 nt
Filed under: uncultured prokaryote
Description: bacterial SSU rRNA
Rfam family: Bacterial small subunit ribosomal RNA
Source: RNAcentral